GUCAAUUACAAGUGAAUUAGAGUAGUUUCCAAUUUGAAUGAGCCAGUUUUGGUCAUAUUUGAAAUCUCAAUUUGCGUACUGAAUAAGUUUGAAAACUAAAUUUGAGUUUGUUUGUAAACAUUUUUAAACGUACGCUGACAAGCUUUAACAAACUAAAUUCUGAGCUUUUCAUUUAUUGUAUGUUGGUCAUGGUUCACACUAACGCUUAUUGCUU
This 214-nucleotide unclassified non-coding RNA is filed under the name Hevea brasiliensis (rubber tree). The record is from RNAcentral. Lineage: Eukaryota; Viridiplantae; Streptophyta; Magnoliopsida; Malpighiales; Euphorbiaceae.